Molecule: ribosomal RNA, 1103 nt
Filed under: Phyllomedusa sp. DPB-2013
Lineage: Eukaryota; Metazoa; Chordata; Amphibia; Anura; Hylidae
Description: partial 16S ribosomal RNA
Rfam family: Bacterial large subunit ribosomal RNA (bases 270-1103)
Source: RNAcentral
ACAUGGUAAGUAUACCGGAAGGUGUGCUGGAAACAAACUGUAGCUUAAUCAAAGCCAUUCGCUUACACCGAAAAUAUGUCUGUUAAACCCGGACCACUUUGAGCCAAAAACCUAACCCGGAUAAUUUAUAUUUAAUAAACUUUUUACCCUCUACCCAUUAAAACAUUUCACAGUUAUAGUAAAGGCGAUCGAAACAUCUUUUGGAGUUAUAUUUCUAGUACCGCAAGGGAACAGUGAAAUAAAAGUGAAACAACUAUCAAGCACCAAAUAGUAGAGACUCCCCUCGUACCUUUUGCAUCAUGGUUUAACUAGUCUAAUCAAGCAAAAAGCACUAAAGUUUGCCCCCCCGAAACUAAGCGAGCUACUUCAAGGCAGCUUCAAGAGCCAACCCGUCUCUGUUGCAAAAGAGUGGGAAGACCUUCAAGUAGAGGUGAUAGACCUAACGAGCUUAGUGAUAGCUGGUUACUUAAGAAAAGGAUCUCAGUCCAGCCCAAUUUUUUUGUAAUUCACCUAAAUGAAAAUUAAAAUUUGGAGAAAUUCAAAUAAGGUACAGCCUAUUUGAACAAGGACACAACCUCCACAAAUGGGUAAUUAAAUUUGUUCGUAAUAAAGUAGGCCUAAAAGCAGCCAUCUUCAAAAGCGUCACAAAGCUUAUCUACAAAUUAAUUGAAUCCCCCUAAUAACUAAAAACCCUUAAUCAAUAUUAAGUAAUUCUAUAAAAUUAUAGAACCUAUUAUGUUAAAACUAGUAACAAGAAUCAGAACUUCUCCCUAAUGUAAGUGUAAAUCAGAUCGGACAAACCACUGAUUCUUAACAUCUUGAGACUAAAGUAAUAACCAAUCGAGAAAAUUUUACCUCACAUAAUGUUAACCUAACACAAGAACAUUCCUAGACAGAUUAAAAGGAAAAGAAGGAACUCGGCAAAUAUUAACCCCGCCUGUUUACCAAAAACAUCGCCUCUUGAUACAUAUAAGAGGUCCAGCCUGCCCAGUGACUUUGUUCAACGGCCGCGGUAUCCUAACCGUGCGAAGGUAGCGUAAUCACUUGUUCUUUAAAUAAGGACUAGUAUGAAUGGCAUUACGAAGUUAUACUGUCUCCUUUUC